Molecule: ribosomal RNA, 305 nt
Filed under: uncultured bacterium
Lineage: Bacteria
Description: partial 16S ribosomal RNA
Rfam family: Bacterial small subunit ribosomal RNA
Source: RNAcentral
UUUCCUACGGGGGUCAGCAGUGGGGAAUAUUGGACAAUUUUUUUAACCCUGAUCCAGCGACGCCGCGUGAGUGAAGAAGUAUUUCGGUAUGUAAAGCUCUAUCAGCAGGGAAGAAAGAAAUGACGGUACCUGACUAAGAAGCCCCGGCUAACUACGUGCCAGCAGCCGCGGUAAUACGUAGGGGGCAAGCGUUAUCCGGAUUUACUGGGUGUAAAGGGAGCGUAGACGGCGAUGCAAGUCUGAAGUGAAAGGCGGGGGCCCAACCCCCGGACUGCUUUGGAAACUGUAUAGCUGGAGUGCAGGAG